GACGAACGCUGGCGGCGUGCCUAACACAUGCAAGUCGAGCGAUGAAUCGCUUCUUCGGAAGCGACGAUUAGCGGCGGACGGGUGAGUAACACGUGGGUAACCUGCCUCAAAGAGGGGAAUAGCCUUCCGAAAGGAAGAUUAAUACCGCAUAAUAUGUUUUUGGUCGCAUGAUCAGAACAUCAAAGGAGCAAUCCGCUUUGAGAUGGACCCCGCGGCGCAUUAGCUAGUUGGUGAGGUAACGGCUCACCAAGGCGACGAUGCGUAGCCGACCUGAGAGGGUGAUCGGCCACAUUGGAACUGAGACACGGUCCAGACUCCUACGGGUGGCUG
RNAcentral lists this ribosomal RNA (330 nucleotides) under uncultured bacterium. RNAcentral's name for it is "bacterial SSU rRNA". It matches the Rfam family "Bacterial small subunit ribosomal RNA", at positions 28 to 351 of the family's 1533-position model. The record is from RNAcentral.